Small nucleolar RNA from Danio aesculapii, 136 nucleotides. RefSeq annotates it as small nucleolar RNA SNORA5. NCBI's taxonomy places the organism in Eukaryota, Metazoa, Chordata, Actinopteri, Cypriniformes, Danionidae. The record is from RefSeq and is a predicted model, not a curated record. The transcript has a single exon.
UGCAGCCUUGUCAAAUUCAGUGUUUCCUCCUCAGUAGACCGCACUGGCCAAAAUGGCUGCAACAGUAAAUCUUUAGUCCAUGAGCCCUGUUAUCUUGUAUAGUGGGUGCUGGGCAAAGAAGUGGCUAUAUACAAUU